AUUGCUUCUCGGCCUUUUGGCUAAGAUCAAGUGUAGUUCCAUUUGGUUGGAGAAACUAUUUUAUUCUUGUAUCUUGAGGUGAUGUCUAUUGUUGAUAGUAGGGUGUGCUUCUUAGAGGCAGCAAAAAGAUGGAUCCUGUUUUCUCAUCCAGUGUGCCAGUCUGUGUCUCUUUUGAGUAACUGGAACCAUU
Small nuclear RNA from Peromyscus eremicus (cactus mouse), 190 nucleotides. RefSeq annotates it as U2 spliceosomal RNA. Lineage: Eukaryota; Metazoa; Chordata; Mammalia; Rodentia; Cricetidae. The transcript has a single exon. The record is from RefSeq and is a predicted model, not a curated record.